GUCCCAGAAUGUAACAUUGGAGGGCUGGUAGAGAAAUGUCAUCGGCCAGAGCAUCAAGCUUAGUCACCCAAUUUUGCUCGAAGAGCGCGGGAUCCUGCGGGAUACGGGCGGUAGAUGAUAUGGCAGAAAUGCCAAAGAUCAAAUUCAACUGUGCCAGAUAGUAUGGGUCAUCUUCAAAUGCCGCAGGGUUGUUGGUAUACUGGCCGUAGAUUUUCAACAGGGUAGGUCGAUGGAUGACAGGAUAUAGCGGUGCCCAUUCUUGGAAGAAAAUAUUGAUAAGUUGGUCUGAUACAAGUCGUGGGGGACUCUUCGGGGGUACAUCUUGAUGUGCCCAUAUUGGGAGAGAUGGAGGACCAAGCAAUUGUUCCGCUGAGAUGCCUGCGGCUGACUUGCCGCUCCGUUCCAGCUUGUUGGCAAAUGCAUCAAUGAAUGCCCUUGUACUCGAUGGGCCAGUAAAGGGUGCAUCUGUGGUUGGUUUUCUCAACAAUGAACACGAAUGUUGAACAUGGAUCAUGUCUUCUCGUUUCUCUGGGGAAGCAUCAUCGGAUGGCGACGAGCCUGGCUCAGUCGAGCCAUGCGGAGGAGUCUUGCGCGACGACGAAAAUGAUUGUAGCCGCGACAAGACAUCGAUCUUCUCGUCCUUCUCAUCCAACAACCCCUUAAGCUCACGAACCUCCGCCUCUAACGAACGAACUCUAUCCUCCAGUGACUCAGUGUAGCCUCGAGGAAAGGCUCGUCUGCUCAGUUUGUCGCUGGUCUUGCAUUCGAAGCCGACAUGCGCGCACUGCGAACAACACGGGCGGAUGCCAUCACAACGGAUCUUCUUGCUCCUACACCUGUCACAAGCCUGGGCAACACGACUCUGCGAGCUGUUGCCCACCUUGAUCACCUUCAUGGGUAGUAUGCCUGGCAUGGCUGUAGGUUUCUUUUAAGGUUGAUCGUAUAAUAAAACAAUUGCACCCUCUAUCCUUCAACUGGGGGAAUUGCCAGUAUGGGUCAAACUAGCCUUUGGUCUUGCUUAUGAUAAUCUUUUCUGCUUUAUUAUUCCCUUCUGUAUUACAUCUAUCCCUCUUUCUAGUCUUCUUCUUCUUCUUCUUCUUCUUUUCUUCUUCGUCCUCUUCCGUUUCUUCCUCCUUUUCUUCUUCCUCUUCCUCUUCCUCUUGCUCUUCCUCUAUUGAUUGUGUUGACCUUGCUCGUCGGAAUCGCGGCUCCCUCCACGUCAACACGAUGAGAGCUGGCACGAAGACUAAAGCGAAUUGAUAGCUGCCGGCUGCCACCACUCCUUUGAGCAGGUGGCUUGGGGCGGCACAGGCACAGAAUGCUUCGAGUAAAACAGGACAGGGUGGCGUCAGACAGCAGGGUAGGAAGCAGCUGAGGGCUGAACUGAAGUCGGGAGUGGAGAGACGGGCGUGUGGAGAAUUAGAAAGGGGGACGAGGAGACAUAAGUACGAAGAGGAACAAAAGGACUGUUGUCUGGAUUCCAGCACAGUCCAGUCUCAACGGAUCCGCGGCAGAGAUCGACCUUGGUACUUUCUGCCAGAGCGGGUGGGAAACCAGUGGAGGCGGCUUCGGGUGCGCAAGCGAUGCAGCGGUGGGGGUGAAAAGAGAGUGCUGGAGGUUUGAAGAUCGGAACGGCGAGAUUUCUUCCUGCAAUCAUAGGAAGACAGAAAGUUCAGCAUCGGGGCCCCAGCGCCAGGAAACUCAAGCACGCAGAGAGAUAGACCUGAUGCGGCGGACAGAGAUACGCCUCGCUGCGUCGGCUUGGGAACUUGGGGAACUUGGGGAGACCAUGGCUGCCAAGGCCCGGACAAACGGAAAUGCUUGGCGUAUCAGUGUUGGCGCCGCCCAAGGUUCUAGCGCCGAUUAGGCUUAGUGUAGCUGCCUCUUCCACAAGCGAAGCCCCGUGGCUUCCCCCGGGAGGAUCCCCCCAACGCAGGCGAAGCCAACCCUAACUGGACGCUAACGAACAGCCCCCAGUGAGGCCCAGCUCUAGCGGCAAACCUGUCAAAGUCUGGAAAUUUGCCCUAAGUUUAACCCUAAGUUUAGCGCAGGGUAAGCCCAAAUUUAACCCUGGGUUUGAGGCCUAUGAUGUCCUCGCACGAAAAUGGGAUCCCGCAAUCACCCUCUCUUCUCCACACAUUUUCGAAAGCUGGGGAAAUCCGUAUUUACCCCGGACGAAAAUCGAUCAACGGCGGCGCCUUGCCACUAAACUGAUAUUGUUAUUAAUUUAUUCAUUAUUAACUAAUUUAUUCACUAGUUAUUCAUUUCUAUUUACACGCACAGCACUUGCUCAUAUGCUGCGCCAUGGAGCCAGUGGGGCUCAUGUUCCUCUGUUUGAAAAAGAAAUGAGCUGUUGUCAAUUUGGCGAUGCGUGCCAUGGAAAGCGCACAUAUGUGCGAUAUCGACCGCUCCUGGGGAUUUGAGUUCUGGUUUUAUAGGUUUGCUGGUAUCGCCAAUUGUUUGGUUUUAUUUCAUUAUAUUUUUCUAAGUUUUUAUUUUAUUCUUUGUCUAUCUAUGUGCGUGCGUGCGUGCGUGUGUGUGUAUAUCGAUAUCUACUCGUAUAAUUUAUGUUUUGAAUUCGCUUUGAAACUGGACCUGACCUGUCCUUGGUUUGGAUACAAGUUUUGUUCGCGGUGCACGCGAACCAUGUUUCCACGAUCGAUACGGACAAGCUGUUCUCAAUUGGAGGUUUUAUUUUGUCCUCUCCUCUUGUUCUCUACUUUUUAAAUACGGAGUACGGUCCCACAUAAUAGGAUUCGAUGCCAAAUAUCCGGAGUAUUGAUAUUCCAGCCAAUUGGAGUGGUGAAAGUCACAUGAUUCGGCGCCAUGUAGAUCCGAGUAGUGUCCCACAUAGAGUUAGCCAAUAAUAUCAAGCUUAUAUAUCCAUCAAAAAAAAGUUUUAGCUGCGAACUCGCAGAAAAAAAAUAAAAUAAGCACUCGGAAUGUGGCCGUAAGGCGAAGAUCUAGCCGGCAAUAUCAUCAAAUCCAUCCAUCACCAAUCUAAACCCAAUCUGAGAUGCGCAGUGUGGCGGGCGCAUAUAUCCAUCUUUGUUUGGCUUCAAUAUUGGAUGGUACCGUUACAGCAUGAUAUUUAGAAUUUUGAAGCAGAACCAUGGGCCGUGGGGUGGUGGAUUCCCAAAAUUACCUUUAAUUUACCAGGCGAGAAAAAAGGCUUCAGAUAACGAUGAACUGAUCGGAGAUGGGUUUUCUUCAACAUCUAUUAUUAUUCAAGAUAUCAACCUCAAGUACUAUAGAGAAGAAAUGUACUCCGAAGGAAAGAAAUAAGAAGGGACCAUAAAACUUAGCCUUGGAAGACAGGGCCUGGUCCGCUGCCUAGCUCCUCAGCAUCAAACCAGCAGGUGCAUGUAUGUACAGUACAAUACAUUUACAACUGUCAAUAAAAGUACUCGACUUCAGUUUAAGCCACUCAACUUUUCAACAAAAGGUGAGAGAAAAAUAAACAGAACAACAUCCUGCUACGCGUAUUGUUUUGUCCAGUGUGAAAAGCCUGAAAAUGCGCUCCCCGCAGGUACCAAAGUUAACCAUCAUUAACACUCCUCUGGGCUACGCUUGGCACAUGUAAUCAUCAACCCAUCCACAAAAUCGAAUCAAAACACGAUUUGGAUAAAAACAACUGCAGGCGUUGUUUGUUAGUGCUUUUUGCUUUUUGUUUUUGUUUUUGUUUUUUUUUUUUUUUUCAUCUCUCCUAGCAAACUUCCUUAAUGAAUUGCUUGUUUCAUCGAGAUCAUGUACGUCACAGAGAGUGUAAACGCGCAGAAUAGAGGGGAAAACGGGAAAGGAUUGACUUCAUCAGACUAGCAAAACGGAGAAUAGGAAAGCUCUGGCAAACAGCAGGGAUAAUCCCGGACAAGCGCCAUGAGCAAUUGUAUUGCUCGUCAAUACGUAGUCCAUUUUUUCCUCCUUAUGCUGCUGGGCACAACUAGCUAAGUGAUAGAAGGGAUUCGGGCCACAAAACAACCCCUAGAUUACUAAGAAGGUUCAUAAUACUACUUCCCGAUAACGCAGUGGUAAAAGCAGGAACUUUCUCUUGGCUACUAGUUCCCGCGUCUCGUUAGGCUGCGCAGAAUAUGUGGACCCAUGGUAAAAUGGUAAAAAUUCCUCAGGAGAAAUCCUCGGCAAUGUCCGCGCCAGGAUUUUGUGUUAUCAAAUAAGACCUCACGGCUUCUGUAUCCAAUAGUUGUAAUUUCUGUUAUCAAAGGUGUCAUUGUUAGCCUAGAGCACACAAUAAUGGGCACACUGUGCAAAGAAGAUAUUGACGGGGAAGAACAAUGGCAGGGCGCGAAAACAUUGGCUACCUUUGCUUCUAUAUCACGAAGCCCGGCUUCUAGGAGUUCUCCCUCCAAUGUUCGAAGCUUAAGGGCUGUCUGCCAUACGGACUGGCGAAUCACCCUUCCGUCAACAUAUUCAAGCCAUCGCUGCACAUACUCGUCGUUCGAACGCAGUUGGGCCAGCUGACCUUGCAUCCGGUCCUGCAAGAUGACAACUGCCCGGAGCUGAAAGACUCCCCACAUCCGGUCCGCUUUGAGCUGGUCAAGCAGCGAUUCCGAAGAAGUAACGUUAGUUCCUUUCCACGAAACCUUGAGCUCUCGCUCUCCUUGGUUUGAUUGAACUACACGGAAUUCCAGGCCAUCUUCUUCGUUAACGCAACACCACCAGACAAAUGAGCUUUCCCAAUCAGUCACGUCAGAGCCAGGCGCGAUAAAGAGGCGAAAGCCUGGUGUCGUAUUGCAGACUGCUAUUUUUGCAGGCCGCAAUGGGUCAUCAGCGGGAAUGUCAAGGUCAAGGAAUAGCUGACGUGCAUUCGUCGAGCUACUAUCGAGAAAUCCGUACGAGAAUACCAUCUCGGAAGCACCCUUUUCGUCACCAUAUCUAUAGUUGCGCGGAUUGAAAGUUAGUCAAAUUGUCGACCUUCGUGUCCACAGUCACAUUAUCUAGCUUCAAGCAUACGUGAUAGUUAUUUCGUCGCCCACCUCUAAUCCUUGACCGCGGCGCAGUUGCAAAACAGCGUUUCCGUUUUCAUCAGUCUCAUACAAGGCGCUGGGCCGACCACCGGAGGCGUGAUUUACCAUAUCAAUACACGGGACCAUGGAAUGUCCCUUGCCUGGAAAUUCAAGAGCUCGCGAUCUAUACAUGGCAUCGACUAACUUCCAAUCCUCGAAGGUAAGCCGGCCAGUAUCUUCGUUCCACCAAUCACGGUCACAGAACGAGAUAUCCGUAGUGGCCUCACGUAACUGGUCAAACUCUUUCUCCAACGAAAGAAUCUUCGAAUCUAGAGCUAAUUCCAGCGAAGUGCCACGUAGAAGUUCGCGCUCCUCAAUGGUGUAUAAGGUGGGCAGGGAAUACGAGGCCGGGAGAAAUUUUAUGUAUUCUGUCCAAGCAUUGGAUACCUUAAUGUGCUCCUUUGACGAUAAAUCCGGAUCCGAGUACAAAAUGUGGACCAGGAGGAAAAGCAAUAUGGCACCUCGAGCUGUCUACACAUAUCAGAAAUUGAAAUAUGCAUCUACGGCCGAGGAAGCGGCAUUGCCGUGCCAGUGAAAGAAUACACACCAUUGCAUAAUCCCUCAUAGAAUCCAGUACCUCCUUCAAAUGCCUAUCUGUUUUUGCGCAUGUUUCCACUAACUCUAGUGAAAGUAAAAGGUCAGAUGGAAUAGUCAUGAGGACUUGCGGCUCAAUUUCGGCUUCGGGAUCGAGCUCCCCGGCUGAUUUCUUUGCUGUCGCAACUAUCCCGCAUCCUUUGUCAACCCCAUCCUUGGCCGGUAGCUGUGUCACCUCGACGUCGUGGAAUUCGACACAAUUAAGUCUAGUCCAUGCCGCGAGCGCACUGAUAGGAAGAUAUUCUCGCUUCAUUGGAGGGGAAGGAGUUUGGUGGACUAGUUACUGCGUAGUUUAUUUGCCGAUUGAGAUAAUGGAUCCCGAGUUUAUCUACGUGAAGUCAGGUGAUCAAACCACGGAGGUGACGAUGAUUGGCUCACCCAACCUCAUCCAACUUUUGGAACACUUGAGAGAUGAAUGACGGUAGCUGAUGGGCCAUAUCCUAUGCCGAUUCUCCUCCCCCCCUUUUUUUAGAAGAUGCGGACUAAGCUCAUUCCGAACUUAAAUUCCCCUCCUCAUGGCGGAACAACAACAAGCUGUGGACUUUCUGGCAACUUCUCAACCAGGACAGCCAUUUUCUACUGGUAUUUUGCAUAAAGCUCUGUCUGGGAAACGAUACGCCGUCUUUCCGAUUCGGCUUCACUGAAGCGAAUUCUGCCAUGAGAGCUGCACUUCAACCAAGGAAUUUUCACCACUUUCUCGUUCACACCACAUCCUCGCUAGCCUGCUUAUGUGAUAUGGCCCACUUCCAAAGCUACCAAUCAAAUUAUCAUACAUUCAUAACAGAAGAAGAAAGAAAUGAGUGAAAAUAGACUUAUUUUAACUGCUUUAGCAGUCAAGGGUCAAGGAUUAACUUAGAGAAGAGCUAAGCUGCUUUCUAUAUAUCUAGACAAUAUUUGCAUCUCUAUAUUGAUAUUUAGAACUAGUAGUCGACGCAACCGGUCAUGAUUGUCAGUAACCCAACAAUUAUAAAGAGUACAAUAUCACACGAUCAGGCUAACGAGAAUGUUGGUGUAAACGAGAAAGUAGUACGGAGUAGCUAUUCUCCAGUUACUCGCGGCCCCCCACUUACAAUCCUUUAUUACGACUAGUGUCUUUUUGAAGGAUAGUGGGGUGGGGUCCUCCAGUAGGUAUGAUAUAUCUUGUCCAAUUUUGUUCUCGCAGAACAAAUUCCACCGUUACGCCUUGAGAAAAAUGAACAUCUAGGAAAAGUCCCUUGACAAGUACCGCCGCU
RNAcentral lists this small RNA (6847 nucleotides) under Histoplasma capsulatum. RNAcentral's name for it is "hypothetical RNA". Lineage: Eukaryota; Fungi; Ascomycota; Eurotiomycetes; Onygenales; Ajellomycetaceae. The record is from RNAcentral. RNAcentral also lists the same sequence under 1 other name.